Molecule: ribosomal RNA, 910 nt
Filed under: Bacillus tequilensis KCTC 13622
Lineage: Bacteria; Bacillati; Bacillota; Bacilli; Caryophanales; Bacillaceae
Description: bacterial SSU rRNA
Rfam family: Bacterial small subunit ribosomal RNA
Source: RNAcentral
GAGCGGACAGAUGGGAGCUUGCUCCCUGAUGUUAGCGGCGGACGGGUGAGUAACACGUGGGUAACCUGCCUGUAAGACUGGGAUAACUCCGGGAAACCGGGGCUAAUACCGGAUGGUUGUUUGAACCGCAUGGUUCAAACAUAAAAGGUGGCUUCGGCUACCACUUACAGAUGGACCCGCGGCGCAUUAGCUAGUUGGUGAGGUAACGGCUCACCAAGGCAACGAUGCGUAGCCGACCUGAGAGGGUGAUCGGCCACACUGGGACUGAGACACGGCCCAGACUCCUACGGGAGGCAGCAGUAGGGAAUCUUCCGCAAUGGACGAAAGUCUGACGGAGCAACGCCGCGUGAGUGAUGAAGGUUUUCGGAUCGUAAAGCUCUGUUGUUAGGGAAGAACAAGUACCGUUCGAAUAGGGCGGUACCUUGACGGUACCUAACCAGAAAGCCACGGCUAACUACGUGCCAGCAGCCGCGGUAAUACGUAGGUGGCAAGCGUUGUCCGGAAUUAUUGGGCGUAAAGGGCUCGCAGGCGGUUUCUUAAGUCUGAUGUGAAAGCCCCCGGCUCAACCGGGGAGGGUCAUUGGAAACUGGGGAACUUGAGUGCAGAAGAGGAGAGUGGAAUUCCACGUGUAGCGGUGAAAUGCGUAGAGAUGUGGAGGAACACCAGUGGCGAAGGCGACUCUCUGGUCUGUAACUGACGCUGAGGAGCGAAAGCGUGUGGAGCGAACAGGAUUAGAUACCCUGGUAGUCCACGCCGUAAACGAUGAGUGCUAAGUGUUAGGGGGUUUCCGCCCCUUAGUGCUGCAGCUAACGCAUUAAGCACUCCGCCUGGGGAGUACGGUCGCAAGACUGAAACUCAAAGGAAUUGACGGGGGCCCGCACAAGCGGUGGAGCAUGUGGUUUAAUUCGAA